Molecule: ribosomal RNA, 452 nt
Filed under: uncultured organism
Description: partial 16S ribosomal RNA
Rfam family: Bacterial small subunit ribosomal RNA
Source: RNAcentral
CGUACACUCCUGCGGGAGGCAGCAGUGGGGAAUAUUGGACAAUGGGCGCAAGCCUGAUCCAGCCAUGCCGCGUGAGUGAUGAAGGCCCUAGGGUUGUAAAGCUCUUUCACCGGUGAAGAUAAUGACGGUAACCGGAGAAGAAGCCCCGGCUAACUUCGUGCCAGCAGCCGCGGUAAUACGAAGGGGGCUAGCGUUGUUCGGAUUUACUGGGCGUAAAGCGCACGUAGGCGGACUAUUAAGUCAGGGGUGAAAUCCCGGGGCUCAACCCCGGAACUGCCUUUGAUACUGGUAGUCUUGAGUUCGAGAGAGGUGAGUGGAAUUCCGAGUGUAGAGGUGAAAUUCGUAGAUAUUCGGAGGAACACCAGUGGCGAAGGCGGCUCACUGGCUCGAUACUGACGCUGAGGUGCGAAAGCGUGGGGAGCAAACAGGAUGAGAAACCCCAGUAGUCCCAU